AACCUUUGACAUGUCCAGUAUGGGCCUGAGAGAUCGGGUCCUUCAGUUCGGCUGGCCGGAACACAGGUGCUGCAUGGCUGUCGUCAGCUCGUGUCGUGAGAUGUUGGGUUAAGUCCCGCAACGAGCGCAACCCUCGCCCCUAGUUGCCAUCAUUCAGUUGGGCACUCUAGGGGGACUGCCGGUGAUAAGCCGAGAGGAAGGUGGGGAUGACGUCAGUGCU
RNAcentral lists this unclassified non-coding RNA (220 nucleotides) under uncultured Alphaproteobacteria bacterium. RNAcentral describes it as "contains 16S-23S intergenic spacer region". It matches the Rfam family "Bacterial small subunit ribosomal RNA", at positions 980 to 1193 of the family's 1533-position model. The record is from RNAcentral. Lineage: Bacteria; Pseudomonadati; Pseudomonadota; Alphaproteobacteria.